Small nucleolar RNA from Psammomys obesus (fat sand rat), 128 nucleotides. RefSeq annotates it as small nucleolar RNA SNORA17. The transcript has a single exon. The record is from RefSeq and is a predicted model, not a curated record. NCBI's taxonomy places the organism in Eukaryota, Metazoa, Chordata, Mammalia, Rodentia, Muridae.
ACUGCCCCAGAAAACUCCGCAGAUGUGGCCGUUGUGUCACAUGUGUGCCAGUAGGUGGCAGAGAGGAGAGCAGCUAUGUCUACAGUGUUCUGACCUAUGAAUUUCUGAAGGAUUAGCAGCCUAACAAU